Molecule: ribosomal RNA, 497 nt
Filed under: uncultured bacterium
Lineage: Bacteria
Description: partial 16S ribosomal RNA
Rfam family: Bacterial small subunit ribosomal RNA
Source: RNAcentral
GAUGAACGCUGGCGGCGUGCCUAAUACAUGCAAGUCGAGCGAACAGAUGAGGAGCUUGCUCCUCUGACGUUAGCGGCGGACGGGUGAGUAACACGUGGAUAACCUACCUAUAAGACUGGGAUAACUUCGGGAAACCGGAGCUAAUACCGGAUAAUAUAUUGAACCGCAUGGUUCAAUAGUGAAAGACGGUUUUGCUGUCACUUAUAGAUGGAUCCGCGCCGCAUUAGCUAGUUGGUAAGGUAACGGCUUACCAAGGCAACGAUGCGUAGCCGACCUGAGAGGGUGGUCGGCCACACUGGAACUGAGACACGGUCCAGACUCCUACGGGAGGCAGCAGUAGGGAAUCUUCCGCAAUGGGCGAAAGCAUGACGGAGCAACGCCGCGUGAGUGAUGAAGGUCUUCGGAUCGUAAAACUCUGUUAUUAGGGAAGAACAAAUGUGUAAGUAACUAUGCACGUCUUGACGGUACCUAAUCAGAAAGCCACGGCUAACUACGUG